GACGGGGGGUCCAAGCGUUGUUCGGAAUCAUUGGGCGUAAAGCGGGUGCAGGCGGCUUUGUAAGUCAGGAGUGAAAGCCCUGGGCUCAACCCAGGAAGUGCUUUUGAUACUGCUUAGCUUGAGUGUGGGAGAGGAUAGUGGAAUUCCUGGUGUAGUGGUGAAAUACGUAGAGAUCAGGAGGAACACCGGCGGCGAAGGCGGCUAUCUGGCCCAACUCUGACGCUCAGACCCGAAAGCGUGGGGAUCAAACAGG
Molecule: ribosomal RNA, 253 nt
Filed under: uncultured bacterium
Lineage: Bacteria
Description: partial 16S ribosomal RNA
Rfam family: Bacterial small subunit ribosomal RNA
Source: RNAcentral